GUUUGAUCCUGGCUCAGAGCGAACGUUAGCGGCAGGCUUAACACAUGCAAGUCGAGCGACAAAAGGGGCUUCGGCCCUGAGUAGAGCGGCGGACGGGGUGCGUAACACGUGGAUAAUCUGCCUCGUGGCGGGGGAUAACAGUCCGAAAGGACUGCUAAUACCGCAUGUCAGGUCGGAAACCCCUGGUUUCUGACGAAAAAAGAGGGCGCCCCGCAAGGGGGCUCUCACCACGAGAUGAGUCCGCGGCCCAUCAGCUAGUUGGCGGUGUAAUAGACCACCAAGGCUAAGACGGGUAGCUGGUCUGAGAGGAUGACCAGCCACACUGGGACUGAGACACGGCCCAGACUCCUACGGGAGGCAGCAGUGGGGGAAUAUUGGACAAUGGGCGAAAGCCUGAUCCAGCCAUGCCGCGUGAGUGAUGAAGGUCUUCGGAUCGUAAAGCUCUGUGGGAAGGGACG
This 458-nucleotide ribosomal RNA is filed under the name uncultured bacterium. Its description in RNAcentral is "bacterial SSU rRNA". It matches the Rfam family "Bacterial small subunit ribosomal RNA", at positions 11 to 447 of the family's 1533-position model. The record is from RNAcentral.